RNAcentral lists this ribosomal RNA (855 nucleotides) under Triticum aestivum (bread wheat). RNAcentral describes it as "partial small subunit ribosomal RNA". The record is from RNAcentral. Lineage: Eukaryota; Viridiplantae; Streptophyta; Magnoliopsida; Poales; Poaceae.
AUGUCCACCUCCUCCGCAGUCCCCUCCUCUGGCCUCAACUACAACACCUCAGAACCUCUCAGCCGGACGAACUAUGUUCUCUGGCGAGCCCAAGCACAAUCCCAGAUAUUGGGCGCCGGCUUGUUUGGCUACAUAGAUCAGACUAUAGAGGAGCCUCCAAAAACAACCAUCAGCAAAGACAAAGAUGGCAAAGAUCAGGUAGCUCCCAACCCUGCUCAUAAACCUUGGCUUGUUUAAGAUCAGCAAAUAGUAGCAUAUCUUCUCCGAAACCUUUCAAAAGAGGUGCUCGUCCAAGUAGCCUCGCUUGAAUCAUCACAUGCAAUUUGGACCGCGCUAGCAAAUAUGUUUUCUGCGGUCUCUCUAUCUCGUGUCAAUAACAUCAGAUCGGCCCUCACAAACGCCCAGAAGGGGUCACAGUCGGCCUCCACCUUCUUCGGGCAGAUGCGUGCCCUCUCCGACGAGCUUGCGGUGGCAGGCAAACCGAUCGGGGAGGACGAGCUUAUCUCCUUCAUCGUCGCCGGGCUUGAUAUGGAGUAUCAGCCCAUCAUCUCUGCACUCGACGCCCGCACCGAGCCCAUCACCGUUGAUGCACUCUUCUCGAUGGUGGCAAACUUUGAUCAACGCGCUGAGAUGUUUAGCAACGCUGGUGGCUUCAAAUCGUCAGCGAACUCCGCCUCCAGGGGUCGAUCGAGUGGCGGCAGAGGCGGCUACCGCAACCAGAAGCAUGGUGGUUGCGGCGGCGGCUACUCUGGUGGUGGCGGCCAAAACCCUAGCAGCGACUAUCCUGGCACGGAUAGCGGCGGCUACAACCAAGGCGGCGGCGGCUACAACCACCACGGCAGCGGCGGCGGCUAG